Molecule: non-coding RNA, 74 nt
Organism: Ameiurus melas (black bullhead)
Lineage: Eukaryota; Metazoa; Chordata; Actinopteri; Siluriformes; Ictaluridae
Source: the annotation of a GenBank genome assembly
GACAGUGGUGGAUCAAUGGUUAAAGCUCUGGAUUAUUGAUCAGAAGGUUAGGGGUUCAAGCCCCAGCACUGCCA